Molecule: small nucleolar RNA, 133 nt
Organism: Megalops cyprinoides (Indo-Pacific tarpon)
Lineage: Eukaryota; Metazoa; Chordata; Actinopteri; Elopiformes; Megalopidae
Product: small nucleolar RNA SNORA47
Exons: 1
Source: RefSeq, a predicted model, not a curated record
AGGAGGAUUGAGAAGGUUUGGCAGCUGUAAAUGGUGCUGCUAUAACUGGUUACAACCUCCAAAAUUAAAACUCAAAUGCAGCAAUUUAACCUGAUCAUACCAUCAGAGUAUGUGCUGUGUAUGUGUACAGUUA